GGGACCGUCAUGGUUGUGUCAGUACAGUCUUCAAUCCACCAGGACAAGGCAAAAAAGGCAUCGAGGAGUCGGUGUGGCAGCUUGCGAAAGCUUAUGCUGCUGUAAAUGAUUCUGGAUAUCAUCAGCUUAUCAGCCACUGGUACGAUGUCUAACAUAGAAAGCGACAUAUUUUAUCAUCAGGUAGCAGUUUGGUUCUAGUUUACAUGCUAAUAAUUAUUAUUUGCAGGUUAAACACACAUGCUGUGAUAGAGCCAUUUGUGAUUGCAACACAUAGACAGUUGAGUGAGCUUCACCCGAUACAUAAGCUUUUGCAUCCGCACUUCCGGGACACAAUGAACAUAAAUGCCCUGGCCAGGCAAAUCCUCAUCAAUGCUGAUGGGGUACUUGAGAAAACAGUCUUCCCAGGUCGAUUCUCCAUGGAAAUGUCAGCCGUUAUUUAUAAGAGCUGGGUAUUCACCGACCAGGCAUUACCUGCUGACUUAUGCAAGAGGUAAGCCAGAAAGCCUAAAUUGAAAAUAAUAAGAUUUGAACUUCCAUCAAACUGAAUAUCAUUUCGCUUCUGGUCUAUUUCAGAGGAAUGGCAGUUCUAGAUAAGACCUGUCCUCAUGGCCUCAGACUUCUGAUUGAAGAUUACCCAUUUGCUGUUGAUGGGCUAGAAAUCUGGUCGGCGAUUCAAACUUGGGUUGAUGAAUACUGCUGUUUGUACUACGAAUCAGAUGAUGCGGUCCAAGUUGAUUCUGAACUCCAGGACUGGUGGACAGAGCUUCGCAAUGUAGGCCACGGUGACAAGAAGAAUGAACCAUGGUGGCCUAAGAUGCAAACAAGAGAUGAACUUAUUGAAUCAUGUACCAUAAUUAUAUGGGUGGCUUCUGCCCUCCAUGCAGCUGUCAAUUUCGGGCAAUACUCUUAUGCUGGUUACCUCCCUAACCGCCCAACUGUAAGCCGACGCUUCAUGCCUGAGGCAGGCACUGCUGAAUAUGCUGAACUUGAGUCCAACCCUGACGCAGCUUUCCUCAAAACAAUUACAGCUCAAUUGCAAACUCUCCUUGGUGUAUCUCUGAUAGAGGUUUUAUCACGACAUUCAACUGAUGAGGUUUAUCUUGGGCAAAACGAUACUCCUGAGUGGACUUCAGAUGCUGAAGCACUAGCAGCAUUUGCAAGAUUUGGAGAGAAGCUGAUGGACAUCGAAAAGGGAAUCAAUGAAAGGAACAAGGAUAUGAGAUUGAAGAACAGAGUUGGGCCUGUAGACAUGCCUUAUACCUUGCUCUAUCCUAACACAUCAGACACGAGCAGAGAGGGUGGACUCACUGGAAAAGGAAUUCCCAACAGUGUCUCAAUCUGAACCUUUUGAUCUGUAUACUAGAUGAAUAUUUUUGAAGUAAUAAUAGUGUGACAUCGUACAAUGGGAGUGAAAGACUACCAAAUAGGUUUUUUGUAAUUCUCAUAUUCUUUUCUAUAAUCUUGUACCUAAGUGAUGGUGCAGACGGCACUAUCUUAGUAAUGUGCAUUAGUUGUGCAGCUGUAAACAUAUGCUUCCCUGAAAUCAAGAACUCGUGAAACCUACGGGUUGUGCCUCUCUCGGACUCAAAUUAUUGUUUUCCCCUCAAUAUCUAUUAUAUAACUUUGAAGCCAAAUGUAACUGUGAAUCAAAGCUAGAAACAACCCAAAGAUGAACACUAUUAAACAGCUAUGGCAUUUGCCAGACGCAAACACUGUCACUAAUUUGCCAACAGAAGACUCAAAAAAGUAACUUGUGAAAGUUCAGAUGCAGAUCCAGAAUUUCAAUAAAACGAGCAAAUAUUAGUGUGAUAAGCAACUAUGAGAAGAUAAAAGACAAUGUUGCUAUCUUGAAAAGAAAAAAUUCACCCACCAUCUCAUUGAAAAUCCAAUUACUUGCUCUAAUAGUCAUUUUUGAACUCCCCAAUUCCCAUCUUUUACAUUUCACUUAUCUGUAUAUAUGUCUCUUCUUUUUCACUCACUCACAGUUCCCUUUCUUCCAAGGUUUAUGUCGAAAAUCCCAUACGAAAAAUUGACAUCAAUAAAUUACAAUAUAUAAUAUACAUGGUUUCGUUCCUAAUUAUCCCGAGAUCUUUUAUGGUAAAACCUGUUAACUACAUUGUAGUGUUUGGGAAUUGAAAGGAAAAUCAAGAAGAAAGAUGAAGAGAAGAAAGAUCAAUACAGAGAGUUUGAGAGAGAGAGAGUUUAGAGAGAGAAAUAGGAUUUGUAUUAACUUGUCAAAUGAAGAUUACACAUACUGUUUAUAUAGAAAUCCUAACCACUUUAACCAAAUACUAACUACCUAACUAUAUUACAUUCGUACCCUUAAUACUCCCCCUCAAUCUCAACUGGGGAAACCCAGUUUGAGAUUGGACGAACAUCUGCAAUCACUGCUAUUAAACUAUAAAACAGAACACAGAGUUGAACCAACUGGAGUCUUGCAAUCACUUGAAACUUCAAAGGCUGUUUUUAAUGAAGUCACAUCUCAGGACACCAUUUUGGGGAAAUCUACUGCUUCAAACUUUCUUCUCAACCGAGACAUUCUGACAAUCAGAAAUGCAAUUAACCAAUUUCACAGUAUCAUCACAAACAGAAACACCACCCUUAUUUCCCAUGAUCCAAUUCUUUAAGCCUGGUGAUUGAACCUCAAUGUAAUGGACUUCUGAACAUGGCGACGAGAACUUUCUUCUGUUCCUGAUUUUCUAGACUGUUGGCUUUUUAAAGUUUCGCCCUUGUCGAUGUAAUACAAUCCCGAGUAAGGCCAUUAAAAUUUUCCAUAUGAGCCGAUUUCUCUAUAUGUUGGCUUUUCAAGCAACAUCUUUCUUGGUCAGCCACUUGUGAGUUUGCAAAUUUGCUAUAAUCCUGACCUCAAUCUUUUCGAUCUUUUCCUCCAAAUUAGCCCCAUUGUCUCACUGUUGUACUGACAACAAUCCACCACAGAAACAGUCUCCAAUCUAUCAGUUGAUCUUUCUGCAUUCGUCAAUCGUGACAUCUUUCCUCUGCCUUCUAAUAGGAUCAGAUUCAUUGUUGUGGCUGAGCUCUAUUCAGAUUUAUAGAAUACAGAAGCCAUUCCCCUGUCCAAAUCAAUCAUGCACAUUUCAAGAGUGUACACAGGUUCAAAGUUCUACUGGUUUUUCAUCUGCAUUACCGACUUCUUCCGGUUUAACCCAGGCUCUUAUUUCAAACAUGUAAAAUAUGUCUGGAACUUCACAGACCCUUGAUAUGAUUUCUAAUUUUCAAAGCCAAAUGCAACAGAUAGUUCCACAACAGCAGUGGCAGCAGCAAGGAUAUAUCCCAAAACUUGUCCAAUCUCCACUAAAAUAGCAGCAACAGUAACCAACUCAGUCGCAGUCCUCUCAAAAAUCUAUUAAGCACAUAUUAAAUCUUAACAAACCUUCUAUGGUGAAAUCACAUCCAUCUAGUCUUCAACAGAAUCAACAAUCUCCCAUUCAUCAGUCAACACAAUCUAUGCUUCAGCAGCAUCCACAGUCAUCAAACAACAAGCUUUACAAUCACAGAAAUCAAGAAACACAACCCUCUUCGGCAAUCGGCCUUUAAUGAAGAAAGGGAACAAGAACUGCACUCCGGCAAUCGGCCUUAAUGGAGUUGCACACAAUAACGACAAACAAAAACUAUUCAAGAACGUUACUCCGGCUAUCGGCCUUUAAGGAGUAACACACAAUAUCUGAAACAUAACGUUUCACUCCGGCUAUCGGCCUUGUGGGGAAACAAACAACUUACACACACUUCUGGCUAUCGGCCUUUUUGAAGUGGGUCAUAAAAGGGAAAUGGCUAUCGGCCUCUCUAUCCCACCAAACACCUCAUUUAUCUACAAUUUUCAUGAUUUCAACACUUAUGGCUAUCGGCCUCUAACAAUUAUGCAAUUUGAAGCAAAAAACUUUGACUGCGACAUUCCAUCAAACACAUAGAGUGCAAGAUAAAGGAACCUGACAUUCUGCGAACCUUGAAUCUGUAUCCCAACUAGAGAAGAUAUGAACGAAGAUAUACCUCUGUUUCGAUCAGAAAUCAAAUAUUUUCUUACUGAAACAUUUAAUCAAACAGAUUAUGUGCAUUGUGAAAACCCAGAAAUCAAGAACCUGAUAAGAACUUCAAUCUUGACCCAAGAAUGCUAAGAGAGAAAACCAGAAGUCUCUCAUCGAUCUAAGGCAAAAUAUGGAAUAAGAACAAGAUUCAGCCUGACAACGAAAGAAACGAACCCUUUCGAGCCCAGCAAUAGGAUGAUUCGGGACCAAUCGACCAUGUUCUUGGCUUCAGAAACAUUAGAAACCAUGUUAGAAUUGGAAUCGCAGGCCGGCGAUAAGAUAAGAAGUCCCUAAUCAACGAUUGCCGGCGAUCAGCGCCCUCGCACCGCUAAUCUCCAACGGUCAUUGCUCCACCAUUUGCUGUUUCUCCACGACGCGUCGUUUUCAGGGCCUCGGGACCUUGGCGGUCCUGCUGAUCUCAUAAAUCAGUAUAAGCUUUGUCGUCAUCAUGAAUUCUUUUGCAAGAGAUCACUGCCUUUGUCAAUAUCAGAGACUCAUUAUCUACAUAAUGUGGUGGGAGACACAUCAAUCAAGAACACCGAGAAUCGAAAUCCCAUGAAACAGAUUCGGGUACCACACUUCUUCUCUCAGGCUUUCCUUCGAACACCUUGUGAACAUGACUCAGGGUACUUACUUGCCGACUCUGCAUCAGAACAAGAAAUUCAAUCCCCAAAAUCGAUGAGAAGUAAAGAUCGGUGAAAAUCAAUCACGUUCAAUAGAGAAAUCUCUGAUCACAAUCCAGAAAGUUCAACCUAGAAGUAAAACAACGAUCGCGGAAGCACUCAAAAAUUUAUUCGAACAUCUAAUGAAAAUUUGGAAAGAACUAAGCUAGAAACAUAUGAAAAAUAAUGGGAAGUGGAACCACCAGAAUCUAUGGCGUGAGCCUGGUGGCUCUGAUACCAUGUUAACUACAUUGUAGUGUUUGGGAAUUGAAAGGAAAAUCAAGAAGAAAGAUGAAGAGAAGAAAGAUCAAUACAGAGAGUUUGAGAGAUAGAGAGUUUAGAGAGAGAAAUAGGAUUUGUAUUAACUUGUCAAAUGAAGAUUACACAUAUUGUUUAUAUAGAAAUCCUAACCACUUUAACCAAAUACUAACUACCUAACUAUAUUACAUUCGUACCCUUAAUAAAACCUUACUCACGUUGGGCUAAGAGGUGGUUAGUUUGAGCACUAUUGGUGUUCAACAGUUGGCCCAUCUCUAUGGAAUUUGACAGUUUAUACCAAGAAAACCUAUCAAAACCCAUAUUCCAUGUAACGUGACAAUAACAAAUUUAGAACCACGAACCAGUACAAAAUUCUAUAUUAACAUGGCUAAAUAGAACAUGGAAAAUAUAUUUCAAUGGGAAAAACAAAGGAAGAAGCAAAUAUGGGUUGUUUCUAAUACACUUUCAAACGCAUAGAGAAAAAAAGAAUAAAAGAGAGAGAGUGAGAGAGAAGACUUACUCCAUAUACAGUGGGAACUGGAGAAGAUUGAAGCUGUUCAUCGCUUGAGGGCUUGGACUUGGAGCAGAAAACCACAACCG
This 5560-nucleotide long non-coding RNA is filed under the name Malus domestica (apple). RNAcentral's name for it is "long non-coding RNA (MDOM_LNC016312)". Lineage: Eukaryota; Viridiplantae; Streptophyta; Magnoliopsida; Rosales; Rosaceae. The record is from RNAcentral.